GAUGAACGCUGGCGGCGUGCCUAAUACAUGCAAGUCGAGCGAACAGACGAGGAGCUUGCUCCUCUGACGUUAGCGGCGGACGGGUGAGUAACACGUGGAUAACCUACCUAUAAGACUGGGAUAACUUCGGGAAAUCGGAGCUAAUACCGGAUAAUAUAUUGAACCGCAUGGUUCAAUAGUGAAAGACGGUUUUGCUGUCACUUAUAGAUGGAUCCGCGCCGCAUUAGCUAGUUGGUAAGGUAACGGCUUACCAAGGCAACGAUGCGUAGCCGACUGAGAGGGUGAUCGGCCACACUGGAACUGAGACACGGUCCAGACUCCUACGGGAGGCAGCAGUAGGGAAUCUUCCGCAAUGGGCGAAAGCCUGACGGAGCAACGCCGCGUGAGUGAUGAAGGUCUUCGGAUCGUAAAACUCUGUUAUUAGGGAAGAACAAAUGUGUAAGUAACUAUGCACGUCUUGACGGUACCUAAUCAGAAAGCCACGGCUAACUACGUG
RNAcentral lists this ribosomal RNA (496 nucleotides) under uncultured bacterium. RNAcentral's name for it is "partial 16S ribosomal RNA". It matches the Rfam family "Bacterial small subunit ribosomal RNA", at positions 28 to 507 of the family's 1533-position model. The record is from RNAcentral.